Molecule: long non-coding RNA, 3507 nt
Filed under: Panax ginseng (ginseng)
Lineage: Eukaryota; Viridiplantae; Streptophyta; Magnoliopsida; Apiales; Araliaceae
Description: long non-coding RNA (PGIN_LNC006212)
Source: RNAcentral
UUAAAUCGAAAUUAAACCCGAGAUAGUUGUAUUUCCAUACUAAAUUCAACAUAAAACACCCACUAGUAAAUUUUAUGGCUUUGAAUAGUUAAACCUAACCCCAACAAAUAUAGUCACCACACACCUCGUCACUUCUGAUGUCAUGUUUACAUUUAGGUUUCUCGUGCUCAGGGAACAGUCCCCUUGUGGCACUAGUGAAAUCUAUACAUAUCUUGAUACCUAAAAUCAAUCAUUUUCAUUUCGUGAAAUCUUCAAGACUGCGAACUGGGAUUAUUGUCCAGAAGAAAUUCUUGGAUGCUCCUCUUGUAAUGUUCCCAAUCAACGUCGCCCAUGCUGUGGGAGAUUGACCCAUUGUUGGAGAUUUAUAUUAGUUCCCAAGUCUCAGAAAAAUACAGAGCCAUCUACAACUUUAAUCUCUCAAACAGGACAGAUGCACAGUCAACAAUAGAUAUUAUUCUCAUUUCCCCAUAAAAUCAACCUGCAAAGGCUGACCAAGUAUUUAAGAACAGGAACUACAAGAACUAGUAUGCGCACACACACCAAAAAAAAAAAGUCUAACACCAACACAUCUUGUUACCCAGGAAAUUGGUAAAACCUAAAUAUGGCCAGACAGCCAAGUUAUAACAACUCAGCUGAUGUGUUAUCAACCUUUGAGUAACAAGAUUGGUAUCACAUCAUUCACUUAAGGUGAAGUGAAAAACAAUAAAAAGAAGACUAAUGCACCUUGAUAGAUAUUCCAUACCACUGUGUCAGACAUUAUCACGAGUAUCCUUCCACAAGCAUUCCUCAAAAACAGCGGCAAUGUCCAAUUCAUUGAAAAACAAGCAUAAGAAAUCCUUGUGCGCACCUAACUGGAAGGAAGGAAGGAACAAAAGACAGUUAAAAUAGGGGAGGGGGAGAAAGAGAGAGAGAGAUAUGGGGAGAGAGAGAGAGAGAGAGAGAGAUUAAUAAAUAUCAAUAUUAAGUAAGGUCUCAUCAUGAACAAGACUAAAACAUCACGUUAACAAGCAAGCAAACCUAUUAAAGAGGGCUAUAUACUUCAAUCUUCAUUUAGAGCAAUAAUGUUUUAAAAGAUCAAGACAGCCUUAGGAAAUUUAAAAACAACAAAUAGAACACAUAAGAUUAAACAACAGAGAUCAUCCCCACAUAUAACAUUAUCUAAAAUUAUCUGAGGCAAGGUUGAGUACAAUAAGUAGCAGAUCAUUUCAAGUACGGUAGAUGAUUCAACAAUAUGACAUUAAAAUAGCAUAUACUUAUAUGCAAAAGAUAUAUGAAAUUACUAUACAGUUUUAUGGUUAAUACACAGUACAAAACAAACUUUCAUUUAUCUAAAAAAAAAAAAUUUUAAAAAAGGAAGAAGAAUAAUUGGUGGAUUGAAGUUUCAUUUAAGAGGGAAAAAAAUUGUGUUUGAUCUUAUGUACAAUUGGAAGGAGGUAAAACGUAUCUGAAAUGUUGGGAAUGUAGGAAACAAAUAUAUACAUUUCUAAUUAAUAAACACAGUACAAUACAAUACUUAUCCAAAACCAAAAAGAAAUAUCAACGAAUUGAAAGUUUAUAUAUUUAGUCCUAUAUACGACUGAAAGAAGAAAGUUCAACGUGUCUGGUGUGUUGGGAAUAUUUGAAUAUUUGCGCUAGUGGAAAGACAACCAUAUUAUCUACGGCCCAGUGUCACCUGCUUAGAAUUUCCUAAGCCAAUCGUGCGACCUUAGACAACCAACACUGCCUGAGUGUUGCUAAGUAAGCCUUGCUUGCCAAAAGAACACCAAGAGAACUGAAGCACACCAAGAAGAACAAGAGAAUACUUGUAAGUAAAGAAGCUUUGUAUUCACAAGAGAGCUUUUACAAGAGAACUAGAGAAUGCUUGAGUUCUUGGAUGGUUUAACAAAAUGAAGGCCUCCCUAUUUAUACUAGCCCACCUCCUCAAUGGACAGUAGAGAUCAUUUUUAUCCUACGGUUACAAGUGUACAUCUAGAAAGAUCUACACAAGAUUCUAGAUAAGCUUCUACAUCUUUUACUACAUUCAAGAGUAUUCUAUAAUAGUAAAGAAUACAAGAGGAAAGUGUGUAACAUUUUAGAGGUUCCUCUAUGUAAGCAUCCUAAUAAGCGGCUAUAUAAGCAUCCAGUAAGCGCCAAGUAAGAAUCCUACGUGCAGUAACCUCGAGAUAAUCAACCCUUUUCAAGUGGGUUGUGACACCAAGUUGAAGUUCUAGGUUGGGAAUCACAUGGUUAUUUCCUCACUGAAGACCUGUUAGGAGUACACUAAAAAUUUAGUAACUUUCAGUUCUUGACUUUUAGUUCAGAAAAUCAUGUUUCUUUAAGUAGCUGUACACAGCAAAGGAGCUGCCACUCAAUCACUUCAAUACGGAAAAUGUGACAUUCUUUGUAGAAGUAAGAACAAAGAAGCAAGUUUGAUGUUGUUAUAAAUAUGUUGAGCAUUUGCUCAUACUAACAGCUAAUGGUUUUGAAUGUGCUAGACAUACCUUUACAUCCUACUGUAGCUUUUCUUCAAUCCAACUAUUUAUUAUCUCAAUCUCUUGCAGUUGCGUCAUUGAUUAGAGUGUGAAGUGGAAUUUCACUAGACAAGAGACAAAACUAAUGUACUUCCUCAUCAUAACACAUGCAACAUAUUAAAUAAGUCAACACUAUAUAAAAUAGAAAAUCUAAUGUGCCACAACCUUGAGCUUCGUAUUUUAUCAUCAAACUAUAAGUGUUGUAACUAAAAGCACUCCGACAGGAAUAACUUAAAUAUUCAUUCGAGAGCAACGGAUCUUGAUUUUCAAUUAAGCACCAGUAAAGGCAGUAGUCAGUUUUAGGUCAUAGAGUGUAAUUUCAAAAAAUGUUACACUUGCUUGAUAUCCAGAAGGAUACCAAAAUUACUACUAAGGAACUAACCAAGUCUAAGGGUAAAAAAAAACAUACACACUCAUAACUAUCAGUUUCAAUUACUUCCAUAGCAAAAUCAGUAAAUAAUAAUAAUAUACCUUUCAAGUUUCAAUCACAGAAACGUUCUACAAUAGAACUCGACCAUGCUUCGUGUCUCCUUGCCUUAUCAAAAGACAGAAAAUAAAGCAGCGGAGAAAGGGGAGAGGAGAGAGAAAAAAUGAAUCCUCAAACCUUAACCUCAAACAUAAUCAUCAUAGGAAGCAUAAUGAAGCAAAAAGGAAACCACAAAUACCAUACAUGACCAGGAAAUGUUUGCUGGAGUAACCACUUAGUUUCAUCCUUGCACUACAUUUGAAAAGAGUAGCAUAAGUCAAGGAUUUGCAGCCUACAUACCAUAGUUUCAGUAAAUAUUCAAUCAUCCUAAUUAAGUUAUAGAACUUUGAUAAAAGAUGAAAUAUGAAACCAGUCAGAUUGGAUAUCCAAUAGCUAGCAGAGAAGUAUUAAGUAUUAUUCUGCAAGUUGUAUUAUACCUGAUUCCCCUUUUCUGCAGGUAGCAAUUUUCCAGGAGAAAAGAGUGGCUUCUAAAGCGUGCAUUCCAAGAAAAGCAGGACUUAUAGAUAGCGC